This 272-nucleotide ribosomal RNA is filed under the name uncultured Oscillospiraceae bacterium. RNAcentral describes it as "partial 16S ribosomal RNA". It matches the Rfam family "Bacterial small subunit ribosomal RNA", at positions 58 to 339 of the family's 1533-position model. The record is from RNAcentral. Lineage: Bacteria; Bacillati; Bacillota; Clostridia; Eubacteriales; Oscillospiraceae.
ACUUCGGUCAAGUUGAACGGAUGACUUAGUGGCGGACGGGUGAGUAACGCGUGAGGAACCUGCCUUUCAGUGGGGGACAACAGUUGGAAACGACUGCUAAUACCGCAUAAUGUAUUCUGACCGCAUGAUCGGAAUACCAAAGAUUUAUUGCUGAAAGAUGGCCUCGCGUCUGAUUAGAUAGUUGGUGAGGUAACGGCUCACCAAGUCGACGAUCGGUAGCCGGACUGAGAGGUUGAACGGCCACAUUGGGACUGAGACACGGCCCAGACUCC